Long non-coding RNA from Canis lupus familiaris (dog), 821 nucleotides. RefSeq lists it as uncharacterized. NCBI's taxonomy places the organism in Eukaryota, Metazoa, Chordata, Mammalia, Carnivora, Canidae. The record is from RefSeq and is a predicted model, not a curated record. The transcript has 3 exons.
CAUUACCUAGGACAUUUCUAGGCCUCCUGCCCUCAGCCCUGGGCUCCAUGCAUGUAUGCAUAUAUAUAUGUGCAUAUGUAUUAUAUAAAUAAGACCUGCAGAAAGGAAGCUCAUGGAGCUCAUUCUCUGCUUUAUGUGCCUGCAUUUUCUCAUCUUCAAAACCUUCAGUGACCGUUCUUCCCUCAAUUCUGAUGUCACCACCUCCAGGAGGUCUUCUUUGGAACUCCCUGCUGACUGCCACAUGCAGUGCCCAUUGGAUAUGUAUGGAGACUUGGAAGCCUGACUACUCUACAUUCUCCCACAAACGGACCUUGAGAACUUAUUUGGAUAUUCUAGCAGGGGGGCACUGGUAUACCUUUCGUCAAAGAACAGUUCACAUCUAUUGGGGAAGGUGAUCCUCUUUGACAAAGCACACAGGCUUAGGAGGGAUGCACAUGGAGCAGCGAAGGAGAAAGGGGACACUCACCCAGCCAGCCAAAUUGGCUGAAUCAGCCUGGCAAUCAUAUGGCGCAAGGUUGUUUUAACUUCAUUUUCCUAUGAAGGACUAAUCAUCCUGCACCAUUUGUUGAAAGCCCUUUCUGUCACCUCUGAUCCACAGAACCAGCUCUGCCUCAAAUUAAGUUGCUUAUAGAUGCAUAGGUAUGGUUCUGGGAACUCAUUCAUGGUGGGUGUUUUGCUUUCAUUUUUGUUCUCUGUCUAUCCCUGCAGUGAUACAACAUUUUCUUAGUUACUAUAGCUUUAAGUAGGCAUUAUUUUCUAAUGGGGCAAUUUUUCCCACAUAAGACUGUAUAGUUGUUUCGAGGUUUUGUUUUCUUUUUUAU